AUAUUGUUAUUCAUACACUCAGAUUUUUUAUUACUUUCAUUUGAAAUCUGGUUGGUUUUAAAACGAAAUGAAGUUUGUUUUAAUUAACGUGUGACUUUUAAACGUGAAGUUAAAAAAGAAAAAAAAGUGCGCGGAAAAUUUGUUUAUUUUUUAACUUCAAAGAGGAAUGGUACUGGCAGUGGAGGUCUUGUCCGCAUUCCUGAAGAAACUUUAUACUUCGGUUACGAAAGAUGAACGGCAGGCGGGCCCUAAAAGGUGGGAUUAUUGCAUUCCCCAUCUUUUCUGGAAGUUCCUACCAUUACCACAAAGGUGUUUGCGGUAACUUAAUCCGUAUCCUAUCGAUCGGUGAAAAUGUUUUCUCCAGAAGGCAGCAGAAUUCCAGGUAUGCCGUCGCCGUUAAUUCUCACCGGUAGAAAAAAAAAGGCAGCUGGAAGCGUACCGUUGCUGGCCGGAGGCUGAUAAGGCUAAAAAAGAUGCGUUGGACUACCCGCAUAGCUAAAUACGAUACUCCAUAUCUUCCAUAUUAUUCCGUUCUGAUUACAUUAAUAGUAACGUUCCAAGGUGUGUCUUGGCUCAAUGUGCAUUUGCUAGAACGGAUAUAAUAUUAUUUAUGAAAGAUACAAUUAAUAUUCCAAGAAAUAAAUUGAUUAUUUUUGCAACGCGUUGAAAUGAUUAAAAAUUAUUUCUUAAAGAUACAGUGAAUAGUUUUAAAAAUAAAAUGAUUAUUUUAGCAACACGCUUCCCCUUUUCUGCUGUCAAACUACACGCGGGCGGAUUUCGGUAAAAAAAAAACAAAUACUUCGAGCAGUUCGCGAAAAUUUAACGGGCUGUGGUUGUGGCCAGAUCCAGGCCUCCGAGGAAUCAAAACAGCGCGAGGUUAGAGGUUCGGAAGAAAAACCCUGCAGCCAAAAUAAGCUGGAAGCAACAGCAUCGUAGCAGCAGCGCGAGCUGGUAGGGAGAAAAUCGGUCGGAAGUGCAUGCAGCAGCAGCGAAAAGAAACCACAAUUGGAGGAUUGAAGCAACGACGACCAGCGACGAGCGUUCACUUCCUCAAUAUGGCCAAACAACAAUGCAAGCAACACCCAUGCCGAUGGUGCUACUUACAUCAUCCGGAAGGCGUUAUUAGGAACAUCCGGAAGGAGCUAAAUAUUAGAAGUAUGUAUGUUAAAUAAAAUAAAAUAAAUGGAAUAAAUUGACAAAAUGUUUUUAAUUAAUUCUGAAAAUCGAACAAAAAAUUAUUAAUUUUGAUCUUUUUAUCAACACUUCACGAUAUGCUGUAUCGUUAUUUUUCUUAUGAGACGAUCAUUCAGAAAAGAUUCCACGUAUGAUACAGCUAGCUUCAGAGCGAAUAGAAAAAAGCAAAAAAAUGAAUCGUUUAUUUACUUAACAACCCGUUCCCUGUAUCGUUAUUUGUGUCUAAACGAUUCCAUUUCAUGAAAAAACGAUUAGUAUAAUCGUUCAUUAAUAAUCCACAAACUAUAAAGGGAAUCUUUUGAGUGUCUUGGGAGGAAGAUAAUGGGGAUCGUUAUUGUAUAAUACUGCU
This is a long non-coding RNA of Uranotaenia lowii, 1543 nucleotides long. RefSeq lists it as uncharacterized. The transcript has 4 exons. The record is from RefSeq and is a predicted model, not a curated record. NCBI's taxonomy places the organism in Eukaryota, Metazoa, Arthropoda, Insecta, Diptera, Culicidae.